Molecule: long non-coding RNA, 4819 nt
Organism: Harpia harpyja (harpy eagle)
Lineage: Eukaryota; Metazoa; Chordata; Aves; Accipitriformes; Accipitridae
Exons: 5
Source: RefSeq, a predicted model, not a curated record
AAUCUGGUUUUGGGAGACUUAGGGAGUAAAGUAAGGGGUUUGGUACUAGUGUCACUUCACAUACUAAAACCAAUUCGUAGAUGCAAAGUGAAAAGAGUAAUUGAAACAUCUUAAUUUAUCACCAACUUAGUUUUUGUUUUAUUGCUUUUCCAUGCAAGCAAAUCCCUGAAAAGGUGUCUACUGAGAUUAGAGAGAGGAUUUAUUUACAAUUUAAAAAAAAAAUAAUUGAAAACCAUUGGUAUUUUUUGUGGUGUACAUUGAACAAGGUGUGCUUUCACGUCUCAUUUGUGGGAUUUCAGCCUCAUUCUUGCACCUAAUGACACUGCUGAAAAGCCAUAGGGCUUCACUGUCUAGUGAGGCUGAUACAGUCAGUGUACUCAAGGUGUGAUAAUGUUCAUGAUGAUGUAGUUGGUUUAAGAUGUUCUUUUUCUGCACACUUUUAGAAAGACAGCUGUCUCCAAAAUUGAGAAAAAGGAGAAUAAUUGCAAACAGAUAAACCAAAUGGAGAGAUGUGUUCAGCUAAAGGUCUAUACUGUCAGCACUGUUGUCUUCCAAGCUGGUCUGUAGCUGAACUAUUUUUGUAAAUAUAUAAAUGCCAGUAACCACUUGAGCGGGGCACUUGAUUCCAGUUUUUAUGGGCGGUGCCUAUAAUGGACAACGGUAGUGUAUCCAAGCCAAGUUGGCCAUCUUUGUGCUUUACAAUGCCAAAAACUUCAAAGCUUCUUCCUUUUAGAACUCUAAAGCAAUGCAAGUUUGUGUUUCUUCAUAUCAUCAAACUUAAUUAUUGGCAAUAAGCAACUGCUGGCAGGAGCAGCACGUCACAUGGCUCCGUUUCUGCUUUAGAAAAGGUCAGCAUAUGGCAUAAACACUUUGCUGUAUUAUGCAGCCUUGUACUCUGAUCACAUAACACAUGCUUCAGAAAGCAUUAUGCAAUGUUAUACUCACUGAUUAAUGACUGCUUGCACAAGAAGUUUUUCAUUACCCUGAAUGCUAGCAUCCUGGGAAUGAUUAACUUUGUGACAUAACUCUCAUCACAUAAAUAUGGAAGAUUCAAAUAUAGCCUCAAAAUAACGUGUUUCAGAAAUAACUGAACACUUUCUUGCUUGGUACUGUGUACAGUACAUGAUUAACAACUGCUUUAAACCUUCAGAGUUGAAUAGAAGAGCCUAUUUGUGAGAACUGGAAACAAGAUUUAUUUUUAGGGUUUAAAGUUUUACCCAAGGUGAUUUUUUGCACACAGCAGCAUCUCAUUCGCAAUGUUUUUCCUCCGCUUGUGUAAGUUUGAAUUUCCUGAGAAGAAUCUGUGCCAACUAUUUUCAGUCUUCAACCAGUGAGUUAAACAGAACAAGUCAAAUCUAGCCCUUAUUUAGACCAGCAACUGCGUGUGUGUAAAAUGACUCAGUCCAGUGUGUUCAGUAUUACAAUGCAUACAGUUGUGUGCUUAAAUCAGCAUGGUUAUAGCAGAGUAAAUUCCCAAUAAUUGCUGAUUUUCCUGCAAGCAGAUGAAGAAAGCACAGUGUGGUCCCGAAUGAAGCAGCUUGCAAACUUACAGUCUGAACAUUGCUACACGUUCACAUUUAACAUUUUUGUAUUCUAUUGAUUUAUCAUUCCAUGUUCAAAUUUUGCAGAAUCUUAUGUUAAAAAGCAUGAUGACAGUGCAUCACAGAUGUUAUCAUCUUAAGGAUGUACAAAAGGGGAAAAGCCUAUAAAAAGAAGUGUUCCUCACCAUAUUCCUCCACAUAUGAAGAUUCAUCUCCAGUUUUGAAGUACUGUCAAUUGCUACCAGUUAUCUAUGUUUCAACAGCUUUGUUAAGGAGAAAGUUGCUUUGCCUAUUUGGAAAUUCAAGAUCAGUUUUCACAAGGAAAUAACUAUAUUAAACUUCCACUUACUAAUUUUCCUUUAAAUGUCAGACUAAAAAAAAUGACAUCUGCUUCUUAUGAUUCUCUCUCCUGUAAGUAAUCCUGCUCACAAACAGUCACAUUAAAUAAAGCUACUUAAAGUCCUUACAAUAGGGGGGAUGGUUUAGGAUGUCACCACAUUAAUGCAUGUGUGCCAUUUCUUCUGAAAUGAUCUGCAUUGAGAAAAGCUAGAGAAGGUAAACAUUGACCUUCAGUAUGUUCACUUUAAUUUUUGCCUUUUCCUGCAUUCCAACUCCUACAAGUAGUAGCAAAGGCUAAAGGAAAUGGCCUCUGACUAAGCAUUAGCUACCAGCGUGCCCUCAUUAUAGCUGAGGGCUCUUAUUCUCACUUAGCCUACGUGCAGAGCCAGCUAGUCUUUCAGCUGUGAUGACGAAAUGCCAUGCAUUUCUUCCUGGAAUAGUACGCAGAUAAGAGGCCACUUGUUAUGCUGAGGUUUCAGAUGAACUCCACUAAGGGUUUCAAAACACUCUGUCACAAUUAUAUCAGGUUUCUUUAGCAACGAAUUCAUUUCAGACACUUGUAAGAUAAAAAGGGAAGAGAUGUUAGUUUAUUUUCCCUUGUGGUUUCACUGUUUAAACCUUUACAGUAUAUGACUGGAUAGUUUAUACAUGGCCUAAAUUUAUUAAUUUUCAAUAAAACUAGCAAAUCAAAAUGGAUCUGUUCCUUUGUUGAAAUUCACGUUAUUUGUAGACCCUUAUGUGUACCUGUAACUUCAGAGAAGAAACAUGUCUGUGACAUGCUGCUCGAAAGGUCCUGCUGUGCAAACUCAGUUGCUGAGUGCCUUGAACUCAUUCUGGGUCCAGCAAAAGCUGAGAGUUUUCAGAACCUUGCAGCACAAAAGGUUAAUCCUUUAUCCUGGGGUUGAGUUCAGGUGCUAGGACAUGAGUGCGCAGUACGAGCCCAGUUGACCUAAGUAUUACUUAGCAGCAGUGGGAGGACCUGUUUGUGAGAUCAUUUUGCAGAUUUGGGGCCUGUUUAGGUGAUUCCAUGCACUAACAAAAGCAGCUUUAGCAGGAUCAAACAAACCACAGAAAUGUACAGACUGUAAAAGAAAGAGGAAUCUAUGAAGUGUUUGUUUCAAACCAAGCAAUAUCCUUAGUAACAGCAAUAACCGUAUGUUAUUGUGAAGAAAGGAAUAUAUUGCCAGGAGUAUAUAACCCAUGGAUCAUGUGCAGGUUACAUAGCUCUCUUUGCUCAUUCUUAGACGCUAAUUACACAUUUAGAAUCUGUGAUAUGCCCCAUUUCCAUUCAUUCAUUAAGGAUGACAUUAAGUCAGUUGCAACUUGCCUUUCCAUUGGAUCUGCAUGCCACUUGAGAAGGAUGGAAUCAGUAGGAUGGAGAGUCUUACGACGAUAAAUCUGAGUAAAUCGCAGCCUAGAUAAGUAUUUAAUAUUAAAAAAAAAAAACAAACCCAACCCAAAAUGGCAUCUCUCUUUCAUCACUUCCCCUGCAGUUCUCUACAUUUACUAAUAUAUCAUUAACUGGGAACUAAAAGCUAAAUUCAAUUUCCUUUUAAGACAACAAAAUUUUCUUUUUCCAUUUACAUAAUGGAAUUUGGAUCAGGUCUUAAGUCUGUAACCUUAUUCCUUUAAUGCCUUCCAAAUAAAUGUGUAAUUCCCAGUGAGAUCACUAGGAAUCUUGGCUAUUCAAAGUUUGUUCUUUUUUUCUGCAACUGUUCUUCAGUGAAGAGGGUCCCCUUUGAAAAGGUCCAGAGAACACUAGAGCUGUCAAACCCACUACAUCCCUUAAUUACCUUUGGGGUUUUUUUUUUCCUUUCUUGGGCUAGUUAUUGCCUACUCAGAAAAAAAUAAGAACAAAUUUCCCUCAUUAAUAAAUUAUUUGGUAAUUGUUUACUAGAGAUAGGUGAUUCUUGCACAUUACUAUGAAGAAGUCCUGUCCUCGCCAGAACAGGACAGACCAACAAGCCUAUGUUUCUCCAUGAUUUUUCUAAUCUCUUUUUGUUGAAAUGUGAAAGCCUAAAUAAUGUUGCUGCAGUGGUCACUAGCAGGUCUUUUAAACGCUAGACAAUUAAUGUUCACAAAAAUUCUAAUCCACCAAGUAUAAAUAUGAAUUACGGGCAAUUUCUUUUUUGAACCGCUGCUGUCAUGAGCUUUGAUUUUAAUUAAACACCAUGAUGACAAAUUUGUUAGAAAUGGUACUUGUUAAAUACUGCUACUUCGAAAGCUUCUUUGUUUUGUAAAACUGGUUGUUUAUAAGUCGUCUUACAUGUUGUUUGGAGCAUCUUGCUGUGGUUUAUCUUAUUUCUAUCUUUAGAAGACUUGAUCUUAAUGUCUGAAAAAGACAUUGUUUUUUCAUGGAGUAUCAUGGGGAAGAAAAACCCCACAGUGCCUUUCUUGCAAAUUAUACUAAAAGGCUAACUGCUGUUCUGUGGUUCAAAACCUUGAAAUGUUUUAAACUGAAAUUACUACAAUUGAAAAUUUGUCAUCUUUACUGAAAGCACAGAACCAGUGAACACAGUCCCACCAGCGCUCGUACUAGUGAAACCAAUUUUCUUCCCUUCUUUGGCCUUUGCCACCUUCUGCCCGUCCUGCCGUGCAAUCCCUGCUCCUACUGCCCAGGACAUCUCCUGCUGAGGAGAGGGAGUGCGUGUCAUCUAACCUAACCACAGUUCCUAGUGAUGCGGUGAUUCUUCCGGUGGACACAGCGGUGGGAUAAUUGCAUAGAGAUUAAUUUUCAGUUCCAGUAAGUGAGAAUCUCUCUCUCUACGUAUGGUGGCCUCAGACUCCCUGCUGCAAAAUGUCUGCAGUCUGCAUCCCUGGAGAAUCACUAGGAGUUGAAGAAAACUUCCAAAUGUUGUACUCAUCUGUGAGGGAAACAAGGAAGCUGCCUUCUCCCAAGUUAUCAACAGGCAAACUCGAGAAUAAAGAGAUUAACAGAC